CUCGGGUUCCUACUCCCGACCCUGUGAUGACUUUAAAUGUUGCUUUGGCGGACCGGCAAUAUUGCCACCGGCCUAGGCUGGAUAGCGUCCGCCAGAGGAUUUUUAAAUUUCUUUGAAUGUGAAUUCUGAGUCCUUGAAAAUUGAAUCAAAACUUUCAACAACGGAUCUCUUGGUUAUGGCAUCGAUGAAGAACGCAGCGAAAUGCGAUAAGUAAUGUGAAUCGCAGAAUUCAGUGAAUCAUCGAAUCUUUGAACGCACAUUGCGCCCUUUGGUAUUCCGAGGGGCACGCCUGUUCGAGCGUCAUUUAAACCAUCAAGCCUAGCUUGGUCUUGGACGCGGUCGAGUGACCCGUCCGUAACCCGUUGGCGGUGCAGUCCGGCUUCAAGCGUAGCAAAAAUUUCGCUUCAGGAGUCCGCGGCGGUGCCCGCCAGGUAACAAUAUCCCAAAGUUUGACCUCGGAUCAGGUGAGGAUACCCGCUGAACUUAAGCAUAUCAAUAAGCGGA
RNAcentral lists this ribosomal RNA (504 nucleotides) under uncultured Dothideomycetes. Its description in RNAcentral is "eukaryotic LSU rRNA". The stretch from base 150 to 303 matches the Rfam family "5.8S ribosomal RNA". Lineage: Eukaryota; Fungi; Ascomycota; Dothideomycetes. The record is from RNAcentral.